UAAAGGGCUGCAGUAUAUUGACUGUACAAAGGUAGCAUAAUCAUUAGUCUUUUAAUUGAAGACUUGUAUGAAAGAUUUGAUGAAAUAUAAACUGUCUCUAAUUUAUAAAUAGAAAUUAAUUUUUUAAUUAAAAAGUUAAAAUAUUAUUAAAAGACGAGAAGACCCUAUAGAGUUUUAUAAUUUAUUUAUUUAAUUAUUAAGUAUAUAUUUAAAUUUAAUAAAUAAAUAAAUUAUUAUAUUGGGGUGAUAAAAAAAUUUAAUAAACUUUUUUUAAUUUAAUAACAUAAAUAAAUGAAAAAAUGAUCCAUUUUUAAUGAUUAAAAGAAAAAAUUACCUUAGGGAUAACAGCGUAAUAUUUUUUUUUAGUACAAAUAAAAAAAAAAGUUUGCGACCUCGAUGUUGGAUUAAGAUAAAAUUUAAAUGCAAAAGUUUAAAAGUUUUGAUCUGUUCGAUCAUUAAAAUCUUACAUGAUCUGAGCUA
RNAcentral lists this ribosomal RNA (480 nucleotides) under Euphydryas editha. RNAcentral describes it as "partial 16S ribosomal RNA". The stretch from base 341 to 480 matches the Rfam family "Bacterial large subunit ribosomal RNA", at positions 2473 to 2612 of the family's 2925-position model. Lineage: Eukaryota; Metazoa; Arthropoda; Insecta; Lepidoptera; Nymphalidae. The record is from RNAcentral.